GAUGAACGCUGGCGGUAUGCCUAACACAUGCAAGUCGUACGAGAGUUUUUAACUCUAGUGGCGGACGGGUGAGUAACACGUGAGAAUUUGCCUUUAGGAGGGGGACAACAAUUGGAAACGAAUGCUAAUACCCCAUAUGCUUUCGAGUGAAAUGGAUUUUAUCCGCCUAGAGAGAAGCUCGCGGCUGAUUAGCUUGUUGGUAAGGUAAGAGCUUACCAAGGCGACGAUCAGUAUCUGGUUUGAGAGGACGAUCAGACACACUGGAACUGAGACACGGUCCAGACUCCUACGGGAGGCAGCAGUGGGAAUUUCCGCAAUGGGCGAAAGCCUGGCGGAGCAAUACCGCGUGAGGGAAGAAUGCCUAUGGGUUGUAAACCUCUUUUUUCAGGGUAGGAACAAAAUAGAACGUGUACCUGAAGAAUAAGCAUCGGCUAACUCCGUGCCAGCAGCCGCGGUAAUGUGACUACUG
This 469-nucleotide ribosomal RNA is filed under the name uncultured bacterium. Its description in RNAcentral is "bacterial SSU rRNA". It matches the Rfam family "Bacterial small subunit ribosomal RNA", at positions 28 to 534 of the family's 1533-position model. The record is from RNAcentral.